RNAcentral lists this ribosomal RNA (465 nucleotides) under Vreelandella stevensii. RNAcentral's name for it is "partial 16S ribosomal RNA". It matches the Rfam family "Bacterial small subunit ribosomal RNA", at positions 338 to 795 of the family's 1533-position model. Lineage: Bacteria; Pseudomonadati; Pseudomonadota; Gammaproteobacteria; Oceanospirillales; Halomonadaceae. The record is from RNAcentral.
CCUACGGGAGGCAGCAGUGGGGAAUAUUGGACAAUGGGGGGAACCCUGAUCCAGCCAUGCCGCGUGUGUGAAGAAGGCCCUCGGGUUGUAAAGCACUUUCAGUGAGGAAGAACGCCUGGUGGUUAAUACCCAUCAGGAAAGACAUCACUCACAGAAGAAGCACCGGCUAACUCCGUGCCAGCAGCCGCGGUAAUACGGAGGGUGCGAGCGUUAAUCGGAAUUACUGGGCGUAAAGCGCGCGUAGGUGGCUUGAUAAGCCGGUUGUGAAAGCCCCGGGCUCAACCUGGGAACGGCAUCCGGAACUGUGAAGCUAGAGUGCAGGAGAGGAAGGUAGAAUUCCCGGUGUAGCGGUGAAAUGCGUAGAGAUCGGGAGGAAUACCAGUGGCGAAGGCGGCCUUCUGGACUGACACUGACACUGAGGUGCGAAAGCGUGGGUAGCAAACAGGAUUAGAUACCCUGGUAGUC